RNAcentral lists this ribosomal RNA (253 nucleotides) under uncultured bacterium. RNAcentral's name for it is "partial 16S ribosomal RNA". It matches the Rfam family "Bacterial small subunit ribosomal RNA", at positions 524 to 776 of the family's 1533-position model. The record is from RNAcentral.
UACGAAGGGGGCUAGCGUUGCUCGGAAUCACUGGGCGUAAAGGGUGCGUAGGCGGGUUUUUAAGUCAGAGGUGAAAUCCUGGAGCUCAACUCCAGAACUGCCUUUGAUACUGAAAGUCUUGAGUAUGGGAGAGGUGAGUGGAACUGCGAGUGUAGAGGUGAAAUUCGUAGAUAUUCGCAAGAACACCAGUGGCGAAGGCGGCUCACUGGCCCAUAACUGACGCUGAGGCACGAGAGCGUGGGGAGCAAACAGG